Sander lucioperca (pikeperch) is the source of this 159-nucleotide small nucleolar RNA. NCBI's taxonomy places the organism in Eukaryota, Metazoa, Chordata, Actinopteri, Perciformes, Percidae. The record is from Ensembl.
CCGCAUGUUUUGGCCCUGGGCCGUUGUUGUUGUCCUCUCCAUCUCUGUAGAGUGGACAAAACACAAACAUGCCAGAUUAAUAGUGAAAACAUUUGGAGUUAUCAGGGCCACCAGUCCUUCAAGGUCAGACUGAGUUGGUAGUAUAAUACUCCGACACGA